AAAAAAACUAAAAACUUAUGGAUUCUGGAUCUGGGAAUACAAAUAAGAUUUUCACAACGGCGAAACAUGCCUACAAGGAAUAAUUCCAGCGAAAAUAUGCAAAUCAAUAGACGCCUGAAGCAGCACACAUACACACACAUACACACACAUACAAGUAUGCCUCACCGACACUAUUGACAUAUGAUUGACCGAAAAAAGAUUUAUUGAACUCGCUGCCACCACAAUACUUUGGCCACGACAAUCGAUAAUAUCAACGACACGCCAAACAAACACACACACACACAUGCAGCACAGGCACUGGGCCUGUGUGGCAAAUUGUUUGCAAACGAUGACUAUUAAUCCAGGGAAAUGCACUUCCGCAAUCAAUGGCUGGCGUUGAAGCGUGUAGAAAACAUGGCUACACAGACACGCAUACACACAAAUGCUCAUCAACACACACGCGCGCACGAAGGGACGCACUCGAAAGCAAUAUUUCUAAGGCUCGUUAGCGAUCGCUUACACGUACGUUGUUAUUGCAUGUGGAUAACAACAACAAUAAAUCUACGCGUGUUAGCGCCGCGAAUGCAGUUAACGACAAUCAGGCAACAAUAGCAAUAAUAACAAGAACGAAAACAACAAUACAACAGCAUGUCAGUUAGACAGUCAGCGUUCGCGGCCAUUAGUUGCAGCAUAAGUCAAAAUGUUGUUGCCACACCAUGUCUUACAGGCUACGCACCAGCUUAGAUACCUAUUGAGCUGUAUAGAUGGUUGCUGUUUGCAUUUAUAUACCUCUAAGUGUGUAGGGAAACAGAAAGAUUACGGCCAAAGAGCAGACAGCAAGGCAGGCAGCAACGAGUAAAUGUCGUCUGCAAUUGAACAUGACAUGUAGCAUGACUUCCAGUCAACCAAGGCAAACAGACAGCCGUUUGCGCCGUUAGGCGUGCCACCAACGCCUCACCACCACCACCAUAGGCAGUCGAAGCGGUGAGUGAGCAUUUGGUGAGGAAAGCUGAGCAGCUUUCAAGCCAGUCAAUGCGAUAUUUUCUUUUAAUUUUGCUCCUCUGUAACACUCACAGGUGAAACACGCUCGACAAGACAAAUUAUAUUGCAGAUAGAUGAUCAAGUGAUUGCUUGAUACAUUCGACAGCAGAAUAAUGUUGCCAGAUGGGAGAUUUUCGUGAAGCAAAUCACCAACUCAGCCAAAAAAAUACGUAGCAACAGUUUAUUAUUCAAAUAAAGUGGGCUCUGGCCCUACUCAUCCUAUAUAAACAUUACUUUUAAGUUUCCAUAUGCUUCCUUUAAGCUAAAACACUAAUAUAAUAUUACAAAUAUAGAUAAAUAAGCCAAAAUUCA
Molecule: long non-coding RNA, 1332 nt
Organism: Bactrocera latifrons
Lineage: Eukaryota; Metazoa; Arthropoda; Insecta; Diptera; Tephritidae
Exons: 3
Source: RefSeq, a predicted model, not a curated record